AGAGAGAGACAUGCGCGCAUAUCAAUAAGCGGAGGAAAAGAAACUAACUAGGAUUCCCUUAGUAACGGCGAGUGAAGCGGGAAGAGCUCAAAUUUGAAAUCUUCAAGGUUCUACCUUGACGAAUUGUAGUUUAUAGAAGUGUUUUCUGUUAGUAGGAGUGGCAAAAGUUCUUUGGAAUAGGACAUCAUAGAGGGUGAGAAUCCCGUAUUUGGUCAUUCCUUCCUAGCGUUGUGAUACACUUUCAACGAGUCGGAUUGUUUGGGAAUGCAGUCCAAAAUGGGUGGUAAAUCUCAUCUAAAGCUAAAUAUUGGCGAGAGACCGAUAGCGAACAAGUACCGUGAGGGAAAGAUGAAAAGAACUUUGAAAAGAGAGUUAAACAGUACGUGAAAUUGUCAAAAGGGAAGCGUUUGACACCAGUGUUGUUUUUCCGAAAAUCAAUUACGAAUGUUUUAUUUUUGAGGAGUUAUGACUUCAUCGGCUUGCUCCUUUCUUUACGAAACUUUCUUAAUGCACUUUUCGGUUAACAAGUCAACAUCAAUUUCUUUUGUUGUAAAAGGGUAUGAGGAAGGUGGCUUUCUUUUCGGAGAAAGUGUUUAUAGCCUCGUGCCUCUGCAAUCGGAGAGAUUGAGGUCUGCAGCGUAGAUCCUUCGGGGUUAGAUACAGUUUGUGCUAAGUUAUAGCUUUUCAUAGACAACUUGUUGACUAUGUUUAGUCUUGUAGCUUACUCGCUUAUGCUAUUUUACCUACGCUUAGGAUGUUGAUAGUCACAGCGUGUAC
RNAcentral lists this ribosomal RNA (777 nucleotides) under uncultured Neocallimastigales. RNAcentral's name for it is "partial large subunit ribosomal RNA". It matches the Rfam family "Eukaryotic large subunit ribosomal RNA", at positions 23 to 644 of the family's 3401-position model. The record is from RNAcentral. Lineage: Eukaryota; Fungi; Neocallimastigomycota; Neocallimastigomycetes; Neocallimastigales.